AAGCGACCUAAAGGAACGUUUAAGACGAAGACGUUGAUAGGCUGGGUGUGUAAGCGUAGCGAUACGUUGAGCUAACCAGUACUAAUGAACCGUGAGGCUUAACCUGACAACACCGAAGGUGUUU
RNAcentral lists this ribosomal RNA (124 nucleotides) under Proteus mirabilis. Its description in RNAcentral is "partial 23S ribosomal RNA". The stretch from base 1 to 106 matches the Rfam family "Bacterial large subunit ribosomal RNA", at positions 2820 to 2925 of the family's 2925-position model. Lineage: Bacteria; Pseudomonadati; Pseudomonadota; Gammaproteobacteria; Enterobacterales; Morganellaceae. The record is from RNAcentral.